GACAUCCGACAAGAAAUCCAUUUUUUACUUCACUUUUGGGUAAAUUUCUCCGAUUGAUCUAAACAGUUCCGGUCAAAAAGAAUUUUGAAAUUAGUACGAUCAACUAACGCAGACAGAGCGUCAGAUCUUCAAUCAUGAUGGCUGGCUGUCCAUCGCUCUCAGCAGAGGAGUGUCAAUCAAUCAAUGAUGAAGCAACGCAGAGUGGCCAGCAAUCUAUGGCAGCUCACAUCUAAAGAUCAAUUAACGCAGACAGAGCGUCAGAUCUUCAAUCAUGAUGGCUUUCCAUCGCAGAGGUUUGUCAAUCAAUCAAUGUGAAGCAUCGCAGAGUGGCCAGCAAUCUAUGACAGCUCACAGCUAAUUAAAGAUCAAAUGAGCCAAGUCUCGUCAAACUGAGCAAAGGAAAUGUCUCCAAGCUGUCGUUGUUGAAGCUCUGGAGACCGUCAAGCAAGCUGCCUUGACAACUCUACCAACUUCCUGUGUACAGAUCAACUAAUC
This is a long non-coding RNA of Asterias rubens (European starfish), 495 nucleotides long. RefSeq lists it as uncharacterized. The record is from RefSeq and is a predicted model, not a curated record. NCBI's taxonomy places the organism in Eukaryota, Metazoa, Echinodermata, Asteroidea, Forcipulatida, Asteriidae. The transcript is spliced from 5 exons.